AACGUAGGUGGCAAGCGUUAUCCGGAUUUACUGGGCGUAAAGGGUGUGCAGGCGGGGUUGCAAGUGGUGUAUGAAAUCUCCCGGCUUAACCGGGAGGGGUUAUGCCAGACUGCAAUUCUAGAGGACGAGAGAGGGGGGUGGAAUUCCGGGUGUAGUGGUGAAAUGCGUAGAGAUCCGGAGGAACCCCAGAGGCGAAGGCGGCCCCCUGGCUCGUACCUGACGCUCAGCCACGAAAGCAUGGGGAGCGAACGGG
This 253-nucleotide ribosomal RNA is filed under the name uncultured bacterium. RNAcentral's name for it is "partial 16S ribosomal RNA". It matches the Rfam family "Bacterial small subunit ribosomal RNA", at positions 524 to 776 of the family's 1533-position model. The record is from RNAcentral.